GCCGGUGACUCUCGCGGUGGGGCCACACCCGUUCCCAUUCCGAACACGGAAGUUAAGCCCACCAGCGCCCAUGGUACUGCCCGGGCAACUGGGUGGGAGAGUAGGUCGUUGCCGGCU
Molecule: ribosomal RNA, 117 nt
Filed under: Candidatus Hydrogenedentota bacterium
Lineage: Bacteria; Pseudomonadati; Candidatus Hydrogenedentota
Source: RNAcentral